GGUCAAAAAUGAGUUUUGAUCGAAGUUCCAAUUCCCUAGAUCACAUGAAACAAAGAAAAUGAUAAGAAUUAGGAACCAAACUUGCGUGAUAUAACUGAAUAACAAAAAUAAUGUAUAACCAGUGACCAAAUAGAUUACGCAAUCCAAAAGUAAAUAAGCCUAAACAUGAGCUUAGUAAAUCAUCAUCCAAAUCAAGUGAACAUAUGCAUAUUUUAGCACAAGUGAGUCUUGAUGAACUCCAAACCAACAAUCCCAACAUAUUUCAAACUAUUUAACAAAAUUGUUAUCUUAAUCUAAGAAAAAUCAAGAGCAACUCCCACCUUAAAUUUUUUUCAAAGAACAGGAACAUGACAAUGUAAACUAAUCCAACCAAAUCUCCAUUCAUGUUCAUGAAAAAAAACUUACAACGACUCAUUAAUGGAGACCUUAGCAUUCAUAUAGAAUAAGGGAAGGAACACAUCUUUCUCAAAAAUGUCUCCUGUAACUACACACUAUUGGACACUAAAAUGCACAGAUAGAUAUUAGAAUGAAAGGCAAUUUUGAUCAAAUUAGACCAAUAUUCGCACUCGAUUUAAUUUCUUAAGGUCGUGUAGGCUCAACAAAACAAAAAUAGGGCAGCAACAUUCUUGAACUCAACUUGCAAAAAAAGUAGCCAACCUAUACUCCUCAUAUGAUCACAAAAGUUAGAUCGAGCAAAAGAAAAUACUCCCUCCCUCCCAUUUUACCCGUCCCAAAUUGGCUAAGUUGAUGUCCCAUUUUACUUAUCAAGAUAAGAUAAACUUUUCUUCCAUAUUUUACCCUUUACAUUAAUUACCUUUUCUUUAAAUUAAAAUGUAGACAUUAUUUAAUAAGAGUACUUUAAUAAACUAGCCAUAUUAUUUAUUAUUUUUUUAAUUAUUGUGCGAUCCUAAUUUGGAACAAGUAAAAUAGGAGAGGAAUGACUUUAUCCGGACCAAUUUUCAGAAAAAGCGGUAGUAUAUACACACAUAUACAUAUAUGUUUAGUGAGCCCAUAUAUUCAAACAAGAAACAACUUUUUCAAAAAUUAACUUUCACUCACAGAGUUGAAGGAAAACAAACAACGAUAUGAGUAUUAAAAUAAAAAUAGAAUCACAUAGUCAUGAAAUCGGAACAAUAACAAAAUCAGACAGGACAGAUUCGCACUUGUGAUGCAAAACAGCCUCGCUUGAAACAAAUGAAUAAUUUACAGAUUAAAAGAGACAGAACUAUAUUUUGAAAUUGAUUUUCAGAUAACAAACAACAAUACCAUGAUCAAACGUACAUCAUACACCUGCAAAUUCAUUUUUCGACACCAACGACAACUUAAACUAUAUGGAGAUUCAUAUACAAGAAUUCGUUUUUCAAUAACAUCAACAUAAAAAAAAAUUAACAGAUUUAAACUAAAAUAACGUGAUCAAUGAACCAAACAAGAUGAGAGAAAAUGAUAUGGAAGUGAGACGAGAAAGGGAUUCGCACCUUUUUCGGGACAGAAAAACUAGAUUUUAAUGAAAAGGAUUUUCUGACAAUUCGAACUUGGACCAGAAUCAUAAACAAACUAGCGACUUCGAGACUUUCCAGUGAACCUCCCACUUGUUUUCUCUCUAAUUUCUAACCGUUUACACUAUUUUUUUCACUCCCCGACUUCA
RNAcentral lists this long non-coding RNA (1645 nucleotides) under Capsicum annuum. RNAcentral's name for it is "long non-coding RNA (CANN_LNC008106)". The record is from RNAcentral. Lineage: Eukaryota; Viridiplantae; Streptophyta; Magnoliopsida; Solanales; Solanaceae.